CGGAGAAAAAGAAGGAAGAGAAUGAAGAGAAGGAGGCGGUGAAGAAGCGGCAGACGGGUGCGCGCUCGUCUCGCGCGCACGUGACCGGAGGGAAGAAGGGAGGAUUUCGAAAGCCUGGCACGAUGCCAAGCCGCAAUUAUAACACGUCAGUGAACGAGUGGGGUGGGUGCGUGCGAGUGCGGGGAGGGGAAAGACAGAUGACGUCGUGCUUAUAAAAAACAUGUGUGAGAAGAGAAUAAAGUGGAGGCGGAGAGGAAUGUGACUGUGGAUUGCGCAAAAUUAGAAGAGAAGAACAAAAGAAUUCGAUUGCAAUGUGUUCAGAUAAUGUCUUUCUGACAUUCGUGCUUUUCU
This is a non-coding RNA of Caenorhabditis elegans, 351 nucleotides long. The record is from Ensembl. Lineage: Eukaryota; Metazoa; Nematoda; Chromadorea; Rhabditida; Rhabditidae.